UACAUAGGGUGCGAGCGUUGUUCGGAAUUAUUGGGCGUAAAGGGCGCGUAGGCGGUGCGGUAAGUCACCUGUGAAAUCUCCUGGCUCAACUGGGAGCUUGCAGGCGAAACUGCCGUGCUGGAGUGUGGGAGAGGUGCGUGGAAUUCCUGGUGUAGCGGUGAAAUGCGUAGAUAUCAGGAGGAACACCUGUGGCGAAAGCGGCGCACUGGACCACACCUGACGCUGAGGCGCGAAAGCUAGGGGAGCAAACAGG
RNAcentral lists this ribosomal RNA (253 nucleotides) under uncultured bacterium. RNAcentral describes it as "partial 16S ribosomal RNA". It matches the Rfam family "Bacterial small subunit ribosomal RNA", at positions 524 to 776 of the family's 1533-position model. The record is from RNAcentral.